AGCCGUGCGGUGAGCACAUAGCGAACUAUUCUUUCGCCUUUUACUAAAGAAUACCGUGUGCUCGCCGCUGAAAGCGGCAUACGCCAAUUUUUGGAGAGGUGUUCCUCUGUGAACGCCU
Small nuclear RNA from Pistacia vera, 118 nucleotides. RefSeq annotates it as U5 spliceosomal RNA. The transcript has a single exon. The record is from RefSeq and is a predicted model, not a curated record. Lineage: Eukaryota; Viridiplantae; Streptophyta; Magnoliopsida; Sapindales; Anacardiaceae.